CGUAGGGGGCAAGCGUUAUCCGGAAUUAUUGGGCGUAAAGAGUGCGUAGGUGGUUUUGUAAGCGCGAGGUGAAAGGCUAUGGCUCAACCAUAGUAAGCCUUGCGAACUGUAAGACUUGAGUGCAGGAGAGGAAAGUGGAAUUCCUAGUGUAGCGGUGAAAUGCGUAGAUAUUAGGAGGAACACCAGUGGCGAAGGCGACUUUCUGGACUGUAACUGACACUGAGGCACGAAAGCGUGGGGAGCAAACAGGAUUAGAUACCCUGGUAGUCCACGCCGUAAACGAUGAGCACUAGGUGUCGGGGUCGCAAGGCUUCGGUGCCGCAGUUAACGCAUUAAGUGCUCCGCCUGGGGAGUACGCACGCAAGUGUG
This 369-nucleotide ribosomal RNA is filed under the name uncultured organism. RNAcentral describes it as "bacterial SSU rRNA". It matches the Rfam family "Bacterial small subunit ribosomal RNA", at positions 526 to 896 of the family's 1533-position model. The record is from RNAcentral.